GGAAUAUAGCCCAGUUGGUGGAGUGAUUGCCUCACAUGCAGAAGGCCCUGGAUUCAAUCCCCAGCACCA
RNAcentral lists this transfer RNA (69 nucleotides) under Marmota monax (woodchuck). RNAcentral describes it as "tRNA.Val". Lineage: Eukaryota; Metazoa; Chordata; Mammalia; Rodentia; Sciuridae. The record is from RNAcentral.